AGAGUUUGAUCCUGGCUCAGGACGAACGCUGGCGGCGUGCUUAACACAUGCAAGUCGAACGAUGAUGCCCAGCUUGCUGGGCGGAUUAGUGGCGAACGGGUGAGUAAUACGUGAGUAACCUGCCCUUGACUCUGGGAUAAGCCUGGGAAACUGGGUCUAAUACUGGAUACUACCUCUUACCGCAUGGUGGGUGGUGGAAAGGGUUUUACUGGUUUUGGAUGGGCUCACGGCCUAUCAGCUUGUUGGUGGGGUAAUGGCUCACCAAGGCGACGACGGGUAGCCGGCCUGAGAGGGUGACCGGCCACACUGGGACUGAGACACGGCCCAGACUCCUACGGGAGGCAGCAGUGGGGAAUAUUGCACAAUGGGCGGAAGCCUGAUGCAGCGACGCCGCGUGAGGGAUGACGGCCUUCGGGUUGUAAACCUCUUUCAGUAGGGAAGAAGCGAGAGUGACGGUACCUGCAGAAGAAGCGCCGGCUAACUACGUGCCAGCAGCCGCGGUAAUACGUAGGGACGCAAGCGUUGUCCGGGAAUUAUUGGGCGUAAAGAGCUCGUAGGCGGUUUGUCGCGUCUGCUGUGAAAGCCCGGGGCUCAACCCCGGGUCUGCAGUGGGUACGGGCAGACUAGAGUGCAGUAGGGGAGACUGGAAUUCCUGGUGUAGCGGUGAAAUGCGCAGAUAUCAGGAGGAACACCGAUGGCGAAGGCAGGUCUCUGGGCUGUUACUGACGCUGAGGAGCGAAAGCAUGGGGAGCGAACAGGAUAAGAUACCCUGGUAGUCCAUGCCGUAAACGUUGGGCACUAGGUGUGGGGGACAUUCCACGUUUUCCGCGCCGUAGCUAACGCAUUAAGUGCCCCGCCUGGGGAGUACGGCCGCAAGGCUAAAACUCAAAGGAAUUGACGGGGGCCCGCACAAGCGGCGGAGCAUGCGGAUUAAUUCGAUGCAACGCGAAGAACCUUACCAAGGCUUGACAUUCACCGGACCGCCCCAGAGAUGGGGUUUCCCUUCGGGGCUGGUGGACAGGUGGUGCGUGGUUGUCGUCAGCUCGUGUCGUGAGAUGUUGGGUUAAGUCCCGCAACGAGCGCAACCCUCGUUCUAUGUUGCCAGCACGUGAUGGUGGGGACUCAUAGGAGACUGCCGGGGUCAACUCGGAGGAAGGUGGGGAUGACGUCAAAUCAUCAUGCCCCUUAUGUCUUGGGCUUCACGCAUGCUACAAUGGCCGGUACAAAGGGUUGCGAUACUGUGAGGUGGAGCUAAUCCCAAAAAGCCGGUCUCAGUUCGGAUUGAGGUCUGCAACUCGACCUCAUGAAGUCGGAGUCGCUAGUAAUCGCAGGUCAGCAACGCUGCGGUGAAUACGUUCCCGGGCCUUGUACACACCGCCCGUCAAGUCACGAAAGUUGGUAACACCCGAAGCCGGUGGCCUAACCCCUUGUGGGAGGGAGCCGUCGAAGGUGGGACUGGCGAUUGGGACUAAGUCGUAACAAGGUAACCGUA
This 1492-nucleotide ribosomal RNA is filed under the name uncultured Kocuria sp. RNAcentral describes it as "bacterial SSU rRNA". It matches the Rfam family "Bacterial small subunit ribosomal RNA". Lineage: Bacteria; Bacillati; Actinomycetota; Actinomycetes; Micrococcales; Micrococcaceae. The record is from RNAcentral.